UCGCUAGUAAUCGCAGAUCAGAAUGCUGCGGUGAAUACGUUCCCGGGUCUUGUACACACCGCCCGUCACACCAUGGGAGUCGGAAAUGCCCGAAGCCGGUGACCCAACCAAAAGGAGGGAGCCGUCGAAGGCAGGUCUGAUAACUGGGGUGAAGUCGUAACAAGGUAUC
This 169-nucleotide ribosomal RNA is filed under the name uncultured bacterium. Its description in RNAcentral is "partial 16S ribosomal RNA". It matches the Rfam family "Bacterial small subunit ribosomal RNA", at positions 1332 to 1500 of the family's 1533-position model. The record is from RNAcentral.